Molecule: ribosomal RNA, 451 nt
Filed under: uncultured organism
Description: partial 16S ribosomal RNA
Rfam family: Bacterial small subunit ribosomal RNA
Source: RNAcentral
ACACUCCUCCGGGAGGCAGCAGUGGGGAAUAUUGGACAAUGGGCGCAAGCCUGAUCCAGCCAUGCCGCGUGAGUGAUGAAGGCCCUAGGGUUGUAAAGCUCUUUCACCGGUGAAGAUAAUGACGGUAACCGGAGAAGAAGCCCCGGCUAACUUCGUGCCAGCAGCCGCGGUAAUACGAAGGGGGCUAGCGUUGUUCGGAUUUACUGGGCGUAAAGCGCACGUAGGCGGACUAUUAAGUCAGGGGUGAAAUCCCGGGGCUCAACCCCGGAACUGCCUUUGAUACUGGUAGUCUUGAGUUCGAGAGAGGUGAGUGGAAUUCCGAGUGUAGAGGUGAAAUUCGUAGAUAUUCGGAGGAACACCAGUGGCGAAGGCGGCUCACUGGCUCGAUACUGACGCUGAGGUGCGAAAGCGUGGGGAGCAAACAGGAUUAGAAACCCCGGUAGUCCCAUGA